AUAUUUUCCUCUCUUUCCUUCUUCUCUCUCUCUCUCUGUUUACAUAGUUGUAGUUAUACUGUAUACAUUACUUUGUACUCUACUUUAUUUCACUUAACAUGACAACAUAAGCAUUUACCCACAUCAUUAAAACUCCCUGGUACCGAGAGCCCAGGUCUAUUUUUAUAGAGAAGCUUAAGUGAUUCUCAGUGGGCUCUGCUACCCAGCCUUAAUCACACAAAGACAAGUUAUCAGGUUCUCUCCAAAGUCCUGGCCUGCCGCUUGCCUACUGAGCAGGAAGCAGAACUAAGGCUGUCAUGGAGAGGAAGGACAGGCCAAAUACUGUUUGGCUGCCUGCUCCCUCCCACGAGCCAGCCUGCAGCCUGCUAAGUAAGGGGCCCUGCUGAUCCAGAAUUCUUUCUUGCAGAAACACAUACUGGCUUUGAACCAAGGAGGCAGGCUCACUGCUGCAGCAGCCCCAGGGGAAAAAUCCAGACACAGAAUAAAAAAGUAAACUAUGCCAGUGACUGUAUGGCAGUAUAGCAGGAUUGCUCAUCUUAAUUUCCAGAAAAGCGUCAUCCUAACUCACAGGCAAGACAAAGGCUGCCCAGCAGCCUUUACCCCUACUUUCCACACGGUGAGUGCACUGGAGGUUUCAAAAAGCCUGCGGACUAAGACCAGGAGAACAGCAGACACAGCCCACUGGGAAGCCCAUGAUGUUGACCCCAGAGUGGACUUGUGGACUCGUCAACUCGGGCCAGGCUCCUGUAGAGACACAGUUUCACCAUGUUGGUCUCCGACUCCCGACUUCAGUGAUCUGCCUACCUCGGCCUCUUAGACUGCUGGGAUUACAGGCAUGAGCCACCACACCCGGCCUAAAGGUAUAUAUUUUUUAAAGGCAUAUACAGAAGUCCAUCUGAUUGAGCCUUGGUUAGCGCUGGCUUGCCUCUCCUGCUGGACCUUCAGAUCCUGGGUGGGGAGGGACAGAUCUGAAAAAUCAUGUCCCCAUAGCACUUUGCACACAAUUUCAUCAUGGUAAACAUCCCCAAAAAAGAAGUGUUGAAAUGAGCUGACUGUUAAUUUGCUUCUUUAUCCUCUCUGGACUCUGAAUCCCAAGAUCCAUGAUCAGGGCUUGGGACUCUCCAUCCUGCAGCAUUCCCUGCUUUACAUGAGAGGCAAUGGGAAGGACUGGGCCUGGACAGAGAGAUCCAAGAUCCAGUCACUUCACUGGCCCAAGAUGUGCAUCUGAAAAGACCUUUUGCAGGAAAAUGUGGCUCCAGCCUCCUGCUGCCUCCAGCCAGUCCUCCCUUCCCAGUCGGGGAUCCUGGCCUGUUCCUGCUAUACAGUUUGGUUUCGGCUGUGGCCUCCACCCUGGUGCAACUCAUGCAUCUGAGGCUUAACUGGAGGAAUCCAGGCCCCUUCCCAGCAAGAUGUGUUUGUGAGUGGCAGAUAGAGCAAGGCUGACAGAAGUGUUCCUUCUCAGGUGAAGGGGCCUCAUGGCCACAGCAAUAACGAGGGGUGGGGAGGGGAAAGGGGUUCAUGUCCACUUCCUGAGCUAAGCUGUCUCAAGCUUAGCACCUGUGCCUCCUCUAAGGCGGCGUCUUGCUUCCAAUUCAUUCUUGAUCCCACAGAAUGAGGGACAGGGCACUAAGUGUUCAGCUCUGCUGGCCUCAGCCACUCACUCUUGAAUUCCCAGUGGUAUAAGUCUCUCAGAGACACUGGAACCAAGAGGUCCAACAUGUGACACUUCCAAGCAGUCAGUGUGUUAGUUUCUCACAACAGUCCAAGAAGAAGCAAGAACAAUUCUCUUGGCUGGGGAGGAUUGGAGGUGAUCCAGGAGCAGUCUUCAGAUCCUGCCUUCAAUCUUGGCCUCAGGAGACAGAGCCUCCUAUCAAAGGACAGAGCCACCAAAACCAACUCCCUUUAUGCUAUUCCAGUGGCAUCUGUGAGCCAGAAAUUUCUAGAAGUUUUUGAAGGACCUUUGUGGCUGUGUACAGGGCUGAGUUGUUGCAGCCUUACUUGCAGAGGUGGUGAACCCUGUGAAGAACCAGGAGAGCAGUGGACCUUGCAGGGGUUGGAGGAUUCACACCCGCAUGGAAUUGGGAUGACGUAGAGGCAUAAAAGAGUACAUGUCCCUGAGUGUCUUUGAAAGUUAGGCAACUAAAACAAAUGUAAUCCCUUGGAUGGAAACCCAGCACAGCUUCAUUGCUGUGGAAGUACAUGGUGGGGGGUGGCUGUCAGUCACAGCAGACUCUGCAAAAUGGGACUCCAUCCCAGUUGGCUUCUGAAAGUCAAGCUAGACAAUAAUUACAUAAGAGUAAG
Callithrix jacchus (white-tufted-ear marmoset) is the source of this 2301-nucleotide long non-coding RNA. The record is from Ensembl. NCBI's taxonomy places the organism in Eukaryota, Metazoa, Chordata, Mammalia, Primates, Cebidae.